Molecule: unclassified non-coding RNA, 111 nt
Filed under: uncultured fungus
Lineage: Eukaryota; Fungi
Description: sequence contains ITS1
Source: RNAcentral
UUUAUUUUUAAUUAAAAAAUUUGGGUUUAUAGAGUUGGAUUUUAAAUACAAGAGGUAUAAAAAAUACCUCAAUUUUUUCUAAUGAUCCUUCCGCAGGUUCACCUACGGAAA